This 465-nucleotide ribosomal RNA is filed under the name Vreelandella stevensii. RNAcentral describes it as "partial 16S ribosomal RNA". It matches the Rfam family "Bacterial small subunit ribosomal RNA", at positions 338 to 795 of the family's 1533-position model. The record is from RNAcentral. Lineage: Bacteria; Pseudomonadati; Pseudomonadota; Gammaproteobacteria; Oceanospirillales; Halomonadaceae.
CCUACGGGCGGCUGCAGUGGGGAAUAUUGGACAAUGGGGGGAACCCUUGUCCCACCAUGGCCGGGGUGUUGAAGAAGCCCCCGGGGUGUAAAGGAACUUCCGGUAGGAAGAACGGCUUGGGGGUUAUUCCCCACAGGAAAAACAUUACUCACAGAAAAAGCAACGGCUAACUCCGUGCCAGCAGCCGCGGUAAUACGGAGGGUGCGAGCGUUAAUCGGAAUUACUGGGCGUAAAGCGCGCGUAGGUGGCUUGAUAAGCCGGUUGUGAAAGCCCCGGGCUCAACCUGGGAACGGCAUCCGGAACUGUCAAGCUAGAGUGCAGGAGAGGAAGGUAGAAUUCCCGGUGUAGCGGUGAAAUGCGUAGAGAUCGGGAGGAAUACCAGUGGCGAAGGCGGCCUUCUGGACUGACACUGACACUGAGGUGCGAAAGCGUGGGUAGCAAACAGGAUUAGAUACCCUAGUAGUC